Long non-coding RNA from Gadus morhua (Atlantic cod), 313 nucleotides. RefSeq lists it as uncharacterized. The record is from RefSeq and is a predicted model, not a curated record. Lineage: Eukaryota; Metazoa; Chordata; Actinopteri; Gadiformes; Gadidae. The transcript is spliced from 2 exons.
AACAACCUGGCGCAGGGGGGCCCAUCAGUACCUAUAGUAUAGGGGCCCAGGAUUUGGUGCUACGGCCCUGGCCCUACAGCAUGGUUUAUGAAGGGUCCGAUGACUUGGUGAGGUUACAUCAUGCUAUCAUCAGGUCUCCAAGCCGAUCUACCGCUAAUAUUUAAUUUACAAAUGUGUUUUAUAGAUAUUGUUUUAUAUUAUGGUUUUGGAUGUGUUAAUGCAGUAAGGUUUCUUUCUAUAUUUUCCCUGUCCCCAUCUUAUCAGACCCUCGGCCAUACAAACAAAAUAACUAUAAAAAACAGGAUUUAAUUAA